UGGGGAAUAUUGCACAAUGGGCGCAAGCCUGAUGCAGCCAUGCCGCGUGUAUGAAGAAGGCCUUCGGGUUGUAAAGUACUUUCAGUCGGGAGGAAGGUGGUAAGGUUAAUAACCUUAUCAAUUGACGUUACCGACAGAAGAAGCACCGGCUAACUCCGUGCCAGCAGCCGCGGUAAUACGGAGGGUGCAAGCGUUAAUCGGAAUUACUGGGCGUAAAGCGAACGCAGGCGGUCUGUCAAGUCGGAUGUGAAAUCCCCGGGCUCAACCUGGGAACUGCAUUCGAAACUGGCAGGCUAGAGUCUUGUAGAGGGGGGUAGAAUUCCAGGUGUAGCGGUGAAAUGCGUAGAGAUCUGGAGGAAUACCGGUGGCGAAGGCGGCCCCCUGGACAAAGACUGACGCUCAGGUGCGAAAGCGUGGGGAGCAAACAGG
RNAcentral lists this ribosomal RNA (429 nucleotides) under Chloroflexota bacterium. Its description in RNAcentral is "Chloroflexi bacterium partial 16S ribosomal RNA". It matches the Rfam family "Bacterial small subunit ribosomal RNA", at positions 355 to 776 of the family's 1533-position model. Lineage: Bacteria; Bacillati; Chloroflexota. The record is from RNAcentral.